RNAcentral lists this long non-coding RNA (1274 nucleotides) under Sus scrofa (pig). Its description in RNAcentral is "lncRNA (ENSSSCG00050003254.1, ENSSSCG00060005237.1)". Lineage: Eukaryota; Metazoa; Chordata; Mammalia; Artiodactyla; Suidae. The record is from RNAcentral.
GGGCGAGGGCGCCGCUCUCGGCGGCGGCGGGGGAGCAAGUCGGGAGGACUCAACCUCCGGGCAAGAAGCCCCCACCCGGGACCCGGCGGGCCCCGCGGGCGCGGGGGUGGAUGCCCGGCUCGGGCAGAAAUCUCCCGCUCCGGUUUUCGCGGCCCUGGAGGGACCUUCCGCCCCGAGAGCUCCCACCUGGGACGGCGGCUCCAGCAGGUCAAGACCCCGAGUGGAAGGAAGGCCGGGGGCGUGCAGGUAGACCCGUUUUCCUUUCUCCCGGCCAGGCGAUUUCUGCUGCCUGGGGCCGUGGCGGUGGGGGCUGCGGAGCCCAGGAGCUUCCCACCCAGAGGAAAGGCAGCCUCACCCUCACUCUUCUCAGCGCGGACACGCCGCCCUCACCGCCGUGGGUGAGGGUCCUCAGGCUACACCCCACGGCUUGGAAUUCCACAACAUUGGACGAGGCACUCAGGACGGCCUGGCUCCCACAGACCCCUGCAGGAUGAACAGCCUCCCUGAGUCCAGGACGCCAGUGUCCGAAGAUUUCUGAAGGUUGUUGCAUUGAACCCAGGAAGGCUCCAGAGUGCCGGGGACUCUGGGGCAAGCCCUCCCCCUUCCCUGCUUUGGCUGGCAGAGCUUCGAGGCCACCUCCUCCAGGCAGUCUUCCCAAACGCCUGAGCCGUGCUUGAAAAUCUGCUGUCCUCUCAGGCUGCUGCCCUGCUGCUCUGCCCGCCGCUCCUGAGUCCCGUCCAAACUGCCUGGCCUGGCCUUCCAGGCCUCCAAGUGGGGCCUCCGCUUCCCUCUUCAGCUCAUCUCCCGCCCCAGCCCGGCCCUGACCCAGUGCACCGGCCACGGAAGCAUCGCAGCCUCGACUCCACGAACGCCAGGCCUGCGAACCGGGACCAUCACCGCUCCAGGAGGCGCCAAUCAAGGCCACUCGGCCGGACUCCGUGUCUGGACCUGGGCCCUGUCUUCUGCCUCCGAGUUCCCGCGCUUCCCGACCAGCCGCGGUUUCUGCACGCGCGCUUCCUCCGCUGGUACCACCCCCUCCCUUUCUGGAACUCCUUCCAGCUCAUCGUCCCAAACCCUAGCUGUCCUUCAAGGCCUGGCCCAGACGUGGCCUCCUGGACCUCCCCCUCCCCCCUGUAGUGUGUGUUGCCUUUUAUUUGUGACCUUGGGUCGCCGAGUUCCCGGGAGGGAGGGGCGAUGGGGGUCUACCGGCAGAGACGGCUAGUGGUCCCCCAGUACUCACUCUCCUCUUCCGAAAGUAAAAGAAGCUCCAAAUU